Small nucleolar RNA from Nycticebus coucang (slow loris), 134 nucleotides. RefSeq annotates it as small nucleolar RNA SNORA3/SNORA45 family. The transcript has a single exon. Lineage: Eukaryota; Metazoa; Chordata; Mammalia; Primates; Lorisidae. The record is from RefSeq and is a predicted model, not a curated record.
ACCGAGGCUAGAGCCAUGCUUGUAUAUUGGUUAUUGUCUAAGUGUGCUGGAGUCCUCAAGGAGUAACUGCUGACCUUACCCGCUGGCUGUGGCCCUCAUGGGUGGCACAGUCAGUCACCAAGCAAGUGACAUGG